Molecule: non-coding RNA, 114 nt
Organism: Acanthosepion pharaonis
Lineage: Eukaryota; Metazoa; Mollusca; Cephalopoda; Sepiida; Sepiidae
Source: the annotation of a GenBank genome assembly
AUACGGUCAAAUCACGCUGAAACACCGGUUCUCGUUCGAUCACCGAAGUUAAGCAUCGUAGAGCCAGGUCAGUACUUAGAUGGGGGACCGCUUGGGAACACCUGGUACUGUAAG